AUCUAAGGUUAGGAAUCUUAUAAUUUUUAUUAUAAGUUUAAAGACGAAUCUAACUAACAGGUGUCGUCCAAAUGCUGUCAGUUGUAGUGGGAUUACAACAUAUAUGGCUAUUAAAUUACCAAAUUCCGGGGACACCCUAAAGAUUAAAGUACCAAGCUAUAUUCGAAAGAAUGUAAGUGGCUGAAGUAAUGAUUCAGGUAUGGUAACAAGCUUUAAGAUGAUUGAAAAUGAAAUGGGAUAUCGCGGAUCUAAGUCAUCUGUAUCUAAUUUAAAUAAUAAAUUAAUAGCUACAGGUGUAAAAGAGCAACGAGUAGACGGUAAUUGGUGUUUUCUUAAAUCAAGAAAAUGUUUAAGGUAUACUCUAACGGGUCUCGAAAGAGACUAUCUAGUCGGAAUCCCUUCUAAUCAAAAAGCUAAAAUAUUUUUUUCUACUAGUGAUAAUAUAACAUUGAAUCCUUAUUUUGUUACAGGUUUUACAGAUGCUGAAGGAAGUUUUACUGUCUCUAUUUAUCCUGAUAGUUCUAUGAAGACCGGUAUUAGAGUAACUGCUGAAUUUAAAAUAGGCUUGAACGAACGAGAUAGUGAUCUUUUAUUAAAAAUUCAACAAUUUUUUGGAGGAAUAGGUAAAAUAAAUUAUAAUAAUUCCUCUAAAGCAUCAAUAUAUAGAGUAUAUAAAAAAGAUGAUUUGUUAAAUGUUAUNNNNNNNNNNNNNUUUCACNUUCAACCAGUAUUAAGAGAAAAUGUAAAAAUUGUAAAUAUCACUGAUCCUAACUGAAUCGCAGGGUUUGUUAGUGGUGAAGGUAAUUUUGAUGCUGGAAUUCGAAAAGCAACAGAUACUAGAAAAGAAAGAGUAUACUUAAGAUUUAGAGUUACUCAACACAGUAGAGAUAUCGAUUUAAUGGAAUUACUCAUAAAGUAUUUAGAAGCUGUAAGAAUUGAAUGAGAUAAUAGAAUUGAAAAUUCUGCGGUAAGUAUUGUAGCAGGUAACUUUUUAGAUAUAACAAAUAAAAUAAUUCCUUUCUUUAAUAAAUAUCUCAUUUAUGGUAUUAAAUAUUAUGAUUAUUUAGAUUGAGUAAAAAUUGCAGAAUUAAUAAAAUUAGGCAAAAAUAAAACUUUUGAAGGAAUGGAAUAAAUAAACCGAAUAGAAACUAGAAUGAAUAAAGGUAGAAAAUAAUAAAAAUUAGCUAUUGUACGAUAAAUCCGAUAACCGUGGGUGCCAGAAGACUCGGUAAUACCAGAGACGCGAACGUUAAUCAUCUUGAAUGGGCAUAAAGGGUUUGUAGGCGGCUUAUUUAUUAAUAGGCUAGAAUCUUAUAGAGGUUAAUAAAAUACUUAGAGGAGGGCUGAUAUCCUUAGAUCCUAAGUGGAAUCCUAAUUGCGAAGGCCAUUUUCCACUACAGAUUGACGCUGAGACACGAAGGUUAGGAUAGGAACUAGGAUUAGAGACCCUAUUACCCCUAACUGUAAACGAUGAAUGGAAGAUAUUUACAACUGUAAGUGUCGAAGUGAAUACGAUAACCAUUCCGCCUUGCCAGUAUACUUGCAAAAGGAAAACAAAAAAAUUAGUCGU
This 1570-nucleotide ribosomal RNA is filed under the name Cantharellus littoralis. Its description in RNAcentral is "partial small subunit ribosomal RNA". The stretch from base 1137 to 1570 matches the Rfam family "Bacterial small subunit ribosomal RNA", at positions 1 to 916 of the family's 1533-position model. The record is from RNAcentral. Lineage: Eukaryota; Fungi; Basidiomycota; Agaricomycetes; Cantharellales; Hydnaceae.